CUAAGUUGAAGGGCCGCUGUAUUUUGACCGUGCAAAGGUAGUGUAAUCACUUGUCUUUUAAAUAAAGACCUGUAUGAAUGGCCAAACGAGGGCUUAACUGUCUCCCAUUUCCAGUCAGUGAAAUUGAUUUACCCGUGCAGAAGCGGGUAUAAAAAUACAAGACGAGAAGACCCUUUGGAGCUUAAGGUACAAGACUCAGCCAUGUUAAGCAACUCCAUAAAAAGCACCUUAAACUUUGUGGUAACUGAGAUCACACCUUCGGUUGGGGCGACCACGGAGGAAAAUAAAGCCUCCAAGUGGAUUGGGGCAAAUCCCCUAGAACUAAGAGAGACAUCUCUAAGCAACAGAACAUCUGACCAUAAAUGACCCGGCCAAUAAGCCGAUCAACGAACCAAGUUACCCUAGGGAUAACAGCGCAAUCCUCUCCCAGAGUCCAUAUCGACGAGAGGGUUUACGACCUCGAUGUUGGAUCAGGACAUCCUAAUGGUGCAGCCCGCCUAUUG
Molecule: ribosomal RNA, 503 nt
Filed under: Pethia gelius (golden barb)
Lineage: Eukaryota; Metazoa; Chordata; Actinopteri; Cypriniformes; Cyprinidae
Description: partial 16S ribosomal RNA
Rfam family: Bacterial large subunit ribosomal RNA
Source: RNAcentral